Molecule: ribosomal RNA, 406 nt
Filed under: uncultured bacterium
Lineage: Bacteria
Description: partial 16S ribosomal RNA
Rfam family: Bacterial small subunit ribosomal RNA
Source: RNAcentral
AUUGAACGCUGGCGGCAGGCCUAACACAUGCAAGUCGAACGAGUGGCGGACGGGUGAGUAAUGUCUGGGAAACUGCCCGAUGGAGGGGGAUAACUACUGGAAACGGUAGCUAAUACCGCAUACCAUCGGAUGUGCCCAGAUGGGAUUAGCUAGUAGGUGGGGUAACGGCUCACCUAGGCGACGAUCCCUAGCUGGUCUGAGAGGAUGACCAGCCACACUGGAAAUGAGACACGUUCCAGACUCCUACGGGAGGCAGCAGUGGGGAAUAUUGCACAAGGGGCGCAAGCCUGAUGAAGACAUGCCGCGUGUAUGAAGAAGGCCUUCGGGUUGUAAAGUACUUUCAGCGAGGAGGCGUUACUCGCAGAAGAAGCACCGGCUAACUCCGUGCCAGCAGCCGCGGUAAUAC